GCACUGCUGAGGAGUCCCAUACCAGGACGAAACGGCUGUGCAGUGC
Schistosoma curassoni is the source of this 46-nucleotide non-coding RNA. NCBI's taxonomy places the organism in Eukaryota, Metazoa, Platyhelminthes, Trematoda, Strigeidida, Schistosomatidae. The record is from Rfam.